Molecule: long non-coding RNA, 217 nt
Filed under: Cricetulus griseus (Chinese hamster)
Lineage: Eukaryota; Metazoa; Chordata; Mammalia; Rodentia; Cricetidae
Description: lncRNA (ENSCGRG00000026461.1)
Source: RNAcentral
CCGACAGCUCUCAGAGCAGAUCCUGCGCAUCAUUCUGCCCAAGCCCUCCCGGAGUUGGCGUCGUGCAAUUUGUUCUGAAACUUCAGCCUCCACCUUGGUGGUGGCUUUUCUUCUCCUAGAAGCCAACAGUGAUUCUUGGAGUGGUAGUGAGAGGGACCACCGUAUCUGCCACUUGACAGAUCUAUAUAUCAUCUGGGUCCAAUGGAGAAGAAAAUAG